AUUGAACGCUGGCGGCAUGCCUUACACAUGCAAGUCGAACGGCAGCACGGGAGCAAUCCUGGUGGCGAGUGGCGAACGGGUGAGUAAUAUAUCGGAACGUGCCCAGUCGUGGGGGAUGACGUAGCGAAAGCUACGCUAAUACCGCAUACGAUCUGAGGAUGAAAGCGGGGGACCGUAAGGCCUCGCGCGAUCGGAGCGGCCGAUGUCAGACUAGGUAGUUGGUGGGGUAAAGGCCUACCAAGCGGACGAUCUGUAGCUGGUCUGGGAGGACGACCAGCCACACUGGAACUGAGACACGGUCCAGACUCCUACGGGAGGCAGCAGUGGGGAAUUUUGGACAAUGGGCGAAAGCCUGAUCCAGCCAUUCCGCGUGCAGGAUGAAGGCCCUCGGGUUGUAAACUGCUUUUGUACAGAACGAAAAGGUUUCUACUAAUACUAGGAGCUCAUGACGGUACUGUAAGAGUAAGCACCGGCUAACUACGUGCCAGCAGCCGCCGUAA
RNAcentral lists this ribosomal RNA (500 nucleotides) under uncultured bacterium. RNAcentral describes it as "partial 16S ribosomal RNA". It matches the Rfam family "Bacterial small subunit ribosomal RNA", at positions 30 to 523 of the family's 1533-position model. The record is from RNAcentral.